RNAcentral lists this small RNA (230 nucleotides) under Arabidopsis thaliana (thale cress). Its description in RNAcentral is "ATSL111890". The record is from RNAcentral. Lineage: Eukaryota; Viridiplantae; Streptophyta; Magnoliopsida; Brassicales; Brassicaceae.
UACUUGAUUAUAGUUUAGCUGUUUCUUCAAACAUGAUUUAAAAUAUUUUGCAUGCCUUGAAACUGUGUAUGAGUGUAUCGAAAGAUGAAAUCUUAAUUUUAUAACCAGAAAGAAAAUAGAUAGAUAGAUAUAUAUGAAAAGCUAAUUUUGAUCACAAUUGGACGAUCACAAAGACGAGGUUGGCUAAAUAUAAGAAUAAAGACAAAAAUUAAGCAAAACAUAAACAAAAA